UACGUAGGGAGCAAGCGUUGUCCGGAUUUAUUGGGCGUAAAGAGCUCGUAGGCGGUUUGUCGCGUCUGCUGUGAAAACGCGAGGCUCAACCUCGCGCCUGCAGUGGGUACGGGCAGACUAGAGUGCGGUAGGGGAGAUUGGAAUUCCUGGUGUAGCGGUGGAAUGCGCAGAUAUCAGGAGGAACACCGAUGGCGAAGGCAGAUCUCUGGGCCGUAACUGACGCUGAGGAGCGAAAGCGUGGGGAGCGAACAGG
Molecule: ribosomal RNA, 253 nt
Filed under: uncultured bacterium
Lineage: Bacteria
Description: partial 16S ribosomal RNA
Rfam family: Bacterial small subunit ribosomal RNA
Source: RNAcentral